Molecule: ribosomal RNA, 414 nt
Filed under: uncultured Funneliformis
Lineage: Eukaryota; Fungi; Glomeromycota; Glomeromycetes; Glomerales; Glomeraceae
Description: partial 28S ribosomal RNA
Source: RNAcentral
GAGAGUUAAACAGUACGUGAAAUUGUUGAAAGGGAAACGAUUGAAGUCAGUCAUACCAACGGGAAAUCAACCUUUUGAGCUUGGUUUCGUGGGUUUUGAAGAGUUUCAAAGCCUUCGGAUUCGCGAGAUUGGGAUCUCUCGGUGUACUUUCUCGUACGGUUAGUCAACAUCGGUUUUGAAUGUCAUAAAAUGACUAGAGGAAUGUAGCUUCGAUCUCGUAUUGAAGUGUUAUAGCCUUUGGUAGAUGUGAUGUUUGAGACCGAGGAUUGCAACGGAUACCCUUCAGGGCUAUUCGUCUGAUCUCUGAUACGUUGCCUUGAUGUUGAAAGCUUGCUUAUGAUGUUAGGGUAUUACGGUCAAAAGGUUAGAACGAAUUACAUUCGUUAAGGAUGUUGACGUAAUGACUUUAAACGA